Molecule: ribosomal RNA, 494 nt
Filed under: uncultured bacterium
Lineage: Bacteria
Description: bacterial SSU rRNA
Rfam family: Bacterial small subunit ribosomal RNA
Source: RNAcentral
GAUGAACGCUAGCGGGAGGCUUAAUACAUGCAAGUCGAGCGGCAAGUUUUGAUAGCAAUAUUGGAACCUAGAGCGGCGCACGGGUGAGUAACGCGUACAUGACCUGCCCUAUACUGGGGGAUAGUCUUGGGAAACUGAGAAUAAUCCCGCAUGUGAUUAGAAUGCUGCAUGGCAAAUUAAUUAAAGCUGAGGCGGUAUAGGAUGGGUGUGCGUCUGAUUAGCUAGUUGGUAGUGUAACGGACUACCAAGGCGAUGAUCAGUAGGGGGCGUGAGAGCGUGACCCCCCCAACGGGUACUGAGACACGGACCCGACUCCUACGGGAGCAGCAGUAAGGAAUAUGGUCAAUGGAGGGAACUCUGAACCAGCCAUCCCGCGUGAAGGAUGAAGGGGCUCUGCCUUGUAAACUUCUUUUGCAUGGGACGAAAAAACUUAUUUAUUAAGGACUGACGGUACCAUGAGGAAUAAGCACCGGCUAACUCCGUGCCAGCAGCCG